UCACCCUCAUCGCGAAACCCAUUUCUGCUUGCCAAUGCGGGAUUUCUCUAUUUUUCCUCAAUGAUCUAAGGUCUCGCCUUGGCAUCAUUCAUCAAGAACGGUUCUUUUCGAAGGAGCUGUGAGAAGUAACAUUGCAGUGGACAAUAAUGGAGAUAACUGGAGUUUGGAGUAGAGGCAGCUUCUUUGCUUAUGGCAGGUUGAGAAUAUGGCUGACAGGAUGGUUAAAUGGUUGAAAGGUGGUGGUUUUCUCUUCCUUGGAGAGUAUUCUUUUAAUCAAUCAGUUGAUUUUCAAAAGAAAAACAGCCCCACACGCUAUCAUGAACCAAGAUUUUAUUCAAAGGUUAAAUUUGUCAAUGGAAAUUCUAAGGAUGCAACCUCACCAACUGUCAUAGAGUCGAUUGGAAACCUGGAAACACUUGAAGGUAUUGCUAUGAGACAAGCAAGGGAAAGAUGUGUUGGUUGUUUGUAUGCAAAUAUAGAACCCAACAUUAUUAAUAAAAUUUGUUGUCUA
Vitis riparia (riverbank grape) is the source of this 511-nucleotide long non-coding RNA. RefSeq lists it as uncharacterized. The transcript is spliced from 3 exons. Lineage: Eukaryota; Viridiplantae; Streptophyta; Magnoliopsida; Vitales; Vitaceae. The record is from RefSeq and is a predicted model, not a curated record.